GACGAACGCUGGCGGCGUGCUUAACACAUGCAAGUCGAGCGGUAAGGCCCUUUCGGGGGUACACGAGCGGCGAACGGGUGAGUAACACGUGGGUGACCUGCCCUCAGCUCUGGGAUAAGCCCGGGAAACUGGGUCUAAUACUGGAUAUGACUCCACGGUGCAUGCCGUGGGGUGGAAAGCCUUGUGCGGCUGAGGAUGGGCCCGCGGCCUAUCAGCUUGUUGGUGGGGUGAUGGCCUACCAAGGCGACGACGGGUAGCCGGCCUGAGAGGGCGACCGGCCACACUGGGACUGAGACACGGCCCAGACUCCUACGGGAGGCAGCAGUGGGGAAUCUUGCGCAAUGGGCGAAAGCCUGACGCAGCGACGCCGCGUGAGGAUGACG
RNAcentral lists this ribosomal RNA (383 nucleotides) under uncultured bacterium. RNAcentral's name for it is "bacterial SSU rRNA". It matches the Rfam family "Bacterial small subunit ribosomal RNA", at positions 28 to 413 of the family's 1533-position model. The record is from RNAcentral.